RNAcentral lists this ribosomal RNA (747 nucleotides) under uncultured bacterium. Its description in RNAcentral is "bacterial SSU rRNA". It matches the Rfam family "Bacterial small subunit ribosomal RNA", at positions 33 to 773 of the family's 1533-position model. The record is from RNAcentral.
ACGCUGGCGGCAGGCCUAACACAUGCAAGUCGAGCGGCAGCACGGGUACUUGUACCUGGUGGCGAGCGGCGGACGGGUGAGUAAUGCCUAGGAAUCUGCCUGGUAGUGGGGGAUAACGCUCGGAAACGGACGCUAAUACCGCAUACGUCCUACGGGAGAAAGCAGGGGACCUUCGGGCCUUGCGCUAUCAGAUGAGCCUAGGUCGGAUUAGCUAGUUGGUGAGGUAAUGGCUCACCAAGGCGACGAUCCGUAACUGGUCUGAGAGGAUGAUCAGUCACACUGGAACUGAGACACGGUCCAGACUCCUACGGGAGGCAGCAGUGGGGAAUAUUGGACAAUGGGCGAAAGCCUGAUCCAGCCAUGCCGCGUGUGUGAAGAAGGUCUUCGGAUUGUAAAGCACUUUAAGUUGGGAGGAAGGGCAUUUACCUAAUACGUAAGUGUUUUGACGUUACCGACAGAAUAAGCACCGGCUAACUCUGUGCCAGCAGCCGCGGUAAUACAGAGGGUGCAAGCGUUAAUCGGAAUUACUGGGCGUAAAGCGCGCGUAGGUGGUUUGUUAAGUUGGAUGUGAAAUCCCCGGGCUCAACCUGGGAACUGCAUUCAAAACUGACAAGCUAGAGUAUGGUAGAGGGUGGUGGAAUUUCCUGUGUAGCGGUGAAAUGCGUAGAUAUAGGAAGGAACACCAGUGGCGAAGGCGACCACCUGGACUGAUACUGACACUGAGGUGCGAAAGCGUGGGGAGCAAAC